GGCGGCGUGCUUAACACAUGCAAGUCGAGCGGAAAGGCCCUUCGGGGUACUCGAGCGGCGAACGGGUGAGUAACACGUGAGCAACCUGCCCUAGGCUUUGGGAUAACCCUCGGAAACGGGGGCUAAUACCGAAUACGACCUUUCAUCGCAUGAUGUUUGGUGGAAAGUUUUUCGGCCUGGGAUGGGCUCGCGGCCUAUCAGCUUGUUGGUGGGGUGAUGGCCUACCAAGGCGACGACGGGUAGCCGGCCUGAGAGGGCGACCGGCCACACUGGGACUGAGACACGGCCCAGACUCCUACGGGAGGCAGCAGUGGGGAAUAUUGCACAAUGGGCGGAAGCCUGAUGCAGCGACGCCGCGUGAGGGAUGACGGCCUUCGGGUUGUAAACCUCUUUCAGCAGGGACGAAGCGUAAGUGACGGUACCUGCAGAAGAAGCGCCGGCCAACUACGUGCCAGCAGCCGCGGUAAGACGUAGGGCGCGAGCGUUGUCCGGAUUUAUUGGGCGUAAAGAGCUCGUAGGCGGCUUGUCGCGUCGACUGUGAAAACCCGCAGCUCAACUGCGGGCCUGCAGUCGAUACGGGCAGGCUAGAGUUCGGUAGGGGAGACUGGAAUUCCUGGUGUAGCGGUGAAAUGCGCAGAUAUCAGGAGGAACACCGGUGGCGAAGGCGGGUCUCUGGGCCGAUACUGACGCUGAGGAGCGAAAGCGUGGGGAGCGAACAGGAUUAGAUACCCUGGUAGUCCACGCUGUAAACGUUGGGCGCUAGGUGUGGGGGGCCUCUCCGGUUCCCUGUGCCGCAGCUAACGCAUUAAGCGCCCCGCCUGGGGAGUACGGCCGC
RNAcentral lists this ribosomal RNA (835 nucleotides) under Micromonospora sp. IM-7065. RNAcentral describes it as "bacterial SSU rRNA". It matches the Rfam family "Bacterial small subunit ribosomal RNA", at positions 38 to 889 of the family's 1533-position model. Lineage: Bacteria; Bacillati; Actinomycetota; Actinomycetes; Micromonosporales; Micromonosporaceae. The record is from RNAcentral.